This 497-nucleotide ribosomal RNA is filed under the name uncultured bacterium. RNAcentral describes it as "partial 16S ribosomal RNA". It matches the Rfam family "Bacterial small subunit ribosomal RNA", at positions 28 to 507 of the family's 1533-position model. The record is from RNAcentral.
GAUGAACGCUGGCGGCGUGCCUAAUACAUGCAAGUCGAGCGAACAGACGAGGAGCUUGCUCCUCUGACGUUAGCGGCGGACGGGUGAGUAACACGUGGAUAACCUACCUAUCAGACUGGGAUAACUUCGGGAAACCGGAGCUAAUACCGGAUAAUAUAUUGCACCGCAUGGUUCAAUAGUGAAAGUCGGUUUUGCUGUCACUUAUAGAUGGAUCCGCGCCGCAUUAGCUAGUUGGUAAGGUAACGGCUUACCAAGGCUACGAUGCGUAGCCGACCUGAGAGGGUGAUCGGCCACACUGGAAGUGAGAAACGGUCCAGACUCCUGCGGGAGGCAGCAGUAGGGAAUCUUACGCAAUGGGCGAGAGCGUGACGGAGCAACGCCGCGUGAGUGAUGAAGGUGCUCUGAUCGUAAAACUAUGUUAUUAGGGGAGAACAAAUGUGUAAGUAACUAUGCACGUAUUGACGGUACCGAAUCAGAAAGCUACGGCUAACUCCGUG